GGGGGUCCGGAAGCUGCAGCUGGGGGUCCGGAAGUGUUAGGAGCCUCGCGAAGGGUUGGUGUUCAUCUGCUUGCAGAGGAAAGCCAGACAGAGUAUUUCUCUGUUGCCUGGGCUGGAAUGCAGUGGCGCCAUCAUAACUCACUGCAGCCUCAACCACCUGGACUCAAGCUAUCCUCUCACCUCAGCCUCCCUAGUAGAUGGGACUACAGGUCCAUACCCCUGAACUUCUCAAAUAUUUCCAAUGCUCAUCACUGGGUCUUUUGCAUGGUCAAAAGGGUUGCAGGUGAUUCUUCUGUGUUGUAAAGUUGAAGAGCAGCUUAAUCCACACUUCCUUUUUGGUCUCACUUCUCCCCUUUGUUCCGGUCAAACCCUGACUGCUUCAAAAGGAAAACUGACCCUUCUGAAGAAGACCUUGGAUGUCAGGGGUUUACCCUGUUUACCAAGUGGCAAAAGAACUUCCAUGAAGAUGUUAAGGCAAGGAGUGAAAUGGUCUGAGCAGUGCAGUGAAAGUGACCCCAUCUUACGGCGUGCCCAGUGGAUGGAAGUGAAGCCAAAUGACUGCUUAAGAAGCAACUGCCAAAAAUAGGACGGUGGCAGAGAGGAAGAAAUAAAGAGCAGGGAUGAGAGAUAUGUCAGAGUUGGGACCCACACAACUCUAGUUGAUGUGGGGUGGUGGCAUGGAGGAGAGGAAGAAUGUGAUCACUACCAUUGUCUCAAAUUUGGAAAGAAUCCAAAACAAAGGGAUGCGUGUGUUCACCUUGGGCAGGAAGAACUGAGGACCUGGGGUGUGGGUGUGUGGAGUUCAAGGUGAUCCGAGGAGAUGAAGAGGUUCAUCAGGCAGAUGAAAACUCAGAAGUUUUUGAGAUGAGACCCGAGGUCCUGAUGGUGGGCUCUGAUUUCACAGCCCUCUGCCUGGGAGUGAUGGUUGGAGUCGCUGGCUCCUGUGCAGGUGUUGUGCGUGAGUGGCUUCCCAUUAAAGGUUAACUGCAUAAACACCAUUGACUUAAAAAAAAAAAAAAAGGGUAUCCGAAAACACCGGUAAAAGGAGUUUUGGACUCACAUCCAGUUAAAUAAAGAACAAAGAUUGCUAGCUGGUUAAACUAAAAAGUUACUUAAAAGAUUACUAAAAAGUUACUUAAAAGUUAAUGAAAUCAGUUUUGAAACACUGAGAUUUUCCUAUAGAUUAGAAGGAUCGUAAUUGAAGUUAAUUAUAGUCAUGCUAGAUUUCCUCUCUGAUGUUUAUUUUUCUUCUGGUUAUAUUUCAGACAAUUAAUAGCUCCUAAUGACUCAGGGUUCCAAGUAAUUACCACCAACACUUAUAAUCUGUCUUAUUGGAAUGUUCUCUUCACGCGGGGGCUCUGAAACUGAAGGAAAUUUGUGAUUGUUCAUGAAAGUCCUUCCAUAGGUUGUUAAAAAAAUCAGACUUUAAAAUAAAUGUAUUCUUCAUUUA
RNAcentral lists this long non-coding RNA (1450 nucleotides) under Homo sapiens (human). RNAcentral describes it as "novel transcript". The record is from RNAcentral. Lineage: Eukaryota; Metazoa; Chordata; Mammalia; Primates; Hominidae.